RNAcentral lists this ribosomal RNA (446 nucleotides) under uncultured bacterium. Its description in RNAcentral is "partial 16S ribosomal RNA". It matches the Rfam family "Bacterial small subunit ribosomal RNA", at positions 338 to 795 of the family's 1533-position model. The record is from RNAcentral.
CCUACGGGUGGCAGCAGUCGAGAAUCAUUCACAAUGGGGGAAACCCUGAUGGUGCGACGCCGCGUGGGGGAAUGAAGGUCUUCGGAUUGUAAACCCCUGUCAUGUGGGAGCAAAUUAAAAAGAUAGUACCACAAGAGGAAGAGACGGCUAACUCUGUGCCAGCAGCCGCGGUAAUACAGAGGUGUCAAUCGUUGUUCGGAAUCAAUGGGCGUAAGGGGUGCGUAGGCUGUUUCGUAAGUCGUGUGUGAAAGGCGCGGGCUAAACCCGCGGACGGCACAUGAUACUGCGAGACUAGAGUAGGGGAGGGGGACGCGGAAUGCGCGGUGUAGCAGUGAAAUGCAUAGAUAUCGCGAGGAACACUGGUGGCGAAGGCGGGUUACUGGACAUUAACUGACGCUGAGGCACGAAGGCCAGGGGAGCGAAAGGGAUUAGAUACCCGGGUAGUC